This is a long non-coding RNA of Meriones unguiculatus (Mongolian gerbil), 1181 nucleotides long. RefSeq lists it as uncharacterized. NCBI's taxonomy places the organism in Eukaryota, Metazoa, Chordata, Mammalia, Rodentia, Muridae. The record is from RefSeq and is a predicted model, not a curated record. The transcript has 3 exons.
UGUGAAAAGAAAUUCAGUGGAGAAGUUAUAUUGACAGUGGGGCCAGCAGCCUAGUCCUAUCUUUACAUUGAAACAGUGGAGCCAAGAGCCUAGUCCUAUCUUUACGCUGAAAGCACGACUUCCUUCUGAUAUAAUCGUGCUAAAGGCUGAGCCGGACCUGUUCUGACAACGUCUUCAGAUAUGUUUCAGUGUCACCCAGGCAUACAGGAGUGCAGAGGCCGGUCAGUAUUCCUUGAGAAACUGGUAGCCAAAUGCCGCUCCUUCUGAGGGCCAUGUUCCCAGCUAAUGCUGAGCAUCCGUUUACCAACUGAGAUUCUUGUACGGGCUGUCUAUAACCCUCUUGUGGCAGGACCUUUGGGAGCCUGAGGCUGUUAUGUGUCAAUGGAGACCAACUUCCAGGUUGACUGAUCUGUAUCACAAGAGUGAGGCAACCACAUAUGCAAAUGUCAGACCUGAAGCCAACAACACCUUACUGUGUUGAUCGAGGAAUUCUCUGAAGAGCAGUUACUACCUGACUUAGCUGUUGGGCCGUCCUUGUCUCCCUGUCAACACUGCUGAGGAUCUACAGGUCUGACGCGUGAUGGGGCCCGACGCGUCUGAGAAAGUGAAACCUGGGAGGAACCUGAAAAUCUUCAAGCAAUUAUCUUUCUCCUAAUGAUAGUUUUCAAAAACAAAACAAAACAAAACAAAACAACCAACAGCCCUUUCCUUCAUACUCACUUACCUUAUUUCCUACCGCCUGCUGACCCUAUUGCCCAGCUACCUUCAGAAAGCUAUCCAACACCCAAACAGGCAGACUGAGGAACAAAGGUGUCUGUGGGGAAAGGAACUGUCAAUAGCCUGCCUCAAGAUUAAACAGAUAUCUAGGUUUUCUUCUCUCCAUGGCUCUUCAUCACCUUUCUACAACAAAACUGUGCACAUGAGCAAGUGUCUGCUGGUUUGUAAGAGCUGGGGCGUGAGCAGAGAAAAAGAAUAUGAUUCCUGUAAGAUAUGUAACUGGCUCUGAAUGGGCGUCAGUAGAGGUGGAAAAGCCAGAUUUUUUUUUUCAGAAUAAAUAGAUUUAGUUAUCUCUUCCCAUUAUUUUGCCUGUUUGCAAAUGCUCAGAUCUCAUUAAACUUAAUGUGCGACUAAUAGAAGGAAAGCUUUAAAAAAUUAGCACCUCACAAACUCUUCCCUUUCUA